GCGGAUAUGGCGGAAUUGGUAUACGCGUAGGCUUGAGGGGUCUAUGAGCGAAUGCUCGUGCAGGUUCGAGUCCUGUUAUCCGCA
Molecule: transfer RNA, 84 nt
Filed under: Alkaliphilus metalliredigens QYMF
Lineage: Bacteria; Bacillati; Bacillota; Clostridia; Peptostreptococcales; Natronincolaceae
Rfam family: tRNA
About the family: Transfer RNA (tRNA) molecules are approximately 80 nucleotides in length. Their secondary structure includes four short double-helical elements and three loops (D, anti-codon, and T loops).
Source: Rfam by way of RNAcentral